AAAGAAAAUAACAAUGAUUCCCCUAGUAACUGCGAGUGAAGAGGGACAAGCUCAAAUUUUAAAUCUAUCGGGUUUUACCCGAUCGAGUUGUAAUUUGAAGAAGCGUUUUCUGCGUAUUUGGUCAGCCUAAGUCCUAUUGAAUGAGGCAUCAUGGAGGGUGAUAAUCCCGUCCGGUUGAUCAUUUGCGUUUUACGAUACGCUCUCUAAGAGUCAAGUUGUUUGGGAUUGCAGCUUAAAAUGGGAGGUAAAUUUCUCCUAAGGCUAAAUAACGGCGAGAGACCGAUAGCGAACAAGUACCGUGAGGGAAAGAUGAAAAGAACUUUGAAAAGAGAGUUAAACAGUACGUGAAAUUGUUGAAAGGGAAACGAUUGAAGCCAGUCGUACCUUCGGGUAAUCAGCCUUUCGGGUGCGAUUCUGUGGAGUUUGAGGAGCUUAACACCUUCAUGCUUUGCAUAUUCGUGCUCUUGGGUGUACUUGCUCGUAUGGUUGGUUAACAUCAAUUUUGGUGGUCAUAAAAUGACUGGAGGAAUGUAGCUUCGAUCUUGUAUUGAAGUGUUAUAGCCUUCGGUAGAUGUGAUGAUCGAGAUUGAGGAUUGCAACGGAUACCCUUCGGGGCUACCUGUCUGAUCUCUGAUCGUUGCUCUGGUGCCGAAAGCUUGCUUACGGUUAUCAAAGUCGAUGGUCAAUAGGUUAGAACGGGUUAAAUU
Molecule: ribosomal RNA, 707 nt
Filed under: uncultured Glomeromycotina
Lineage: Eukaryota; Fungi; Glomeromycota
Description: eukaryotic LSU rRNA
Rfam family: Eukaryotic large subunit ribosomal RNA
Source: RNAcentral